CUGCGGCAGCGACACUGUGUGUUGUUGGGUAGGGGAGCGUUCUGUAAGCCUGUGAAGGUGUGUCGUGAGGCAUGCUGGAGGUAUCAGAAGUGCGAAUGCUGACAUAAGUAACGAUAAAGCGGGUGAAAAGCCCGCUCGCCGGAAGACCAAGGGUUCCUGUCCAACGUUAAUCGGGGCAGGGUGAGUCGACCCCUAAGGCGAGGCCGAAAGGCGUAGUCGAUGGGAAACGGGUUAAUAUUCCCGUACUUGGUGUUACUGCGAAGGGGGGACGGAGAAGGCUAUGUUGGCCGGGCGACGGUUGUCCCGGUUUAAGCGUGUAGGUGUGUGUUCCAGGUAAAUCCGGUUCACUUUAACACUGAGGCGUGACGACGAGGCACUACGGUGCUGAAGCAACAAAUGCCCUGCUUCCAGGAAAAGCCUCUAAGCAUCAGGUAACAUCAAAUCGUACCCCAAACCGACACAGGUGGUCAGGUAGAGAAUACCAAGGCGCUUGAGAGAACUCGGGUGAAGGAACUAGGCAAAAUGGUGCCGUAACUUCGGGAGAAGGCACGCUGACACGUAGGUGAAGUGAUUUACUCAUGGAGCUGAAGUCAGUCGAAGAUACCAGCUGGCUGCAACUGUUUAUUAAAAACACAGCACUGUGCAAACACGAAAGUGGACGUAUACGGUGUGACGCCUGCCCGGUGCCGGAAGGUUAAUUGAUGGGGUCAGCGCAAGCGAAGCUCCUGAUCGAAGCCCCGGUAAACGGCGGCCGUAACUAUAACGGUCCUAAGGUAGCGAAAUUCCUUGUCGGGUAAGUUCCGACCUGCACGAAUGGCGUAAUGAUGGCCAGGCUGUCUCCACCCGAGACUCAGUGAAAUUGAACUCGCUGUGAAGAUGCAGUGUACCCGCGGCAAGACGGAAAGACCCC
This 910-nucleotide ribosomal RNA is filed under the name Salmonella enterica subsp. enterica serovar Enteritidis. RNAcentral describes it as "partial 23S ribosomal RNA". It matches the Rfam family "Bacterial large subunit ribosomal RNA", at positions 1200 to 2092 of the family's 2925-position model. Lineage: Bacteria; Pseudomonadati; Pseudomonadota; Gammaproteobacteria; Enterobacterales; Enterobacteriaceae. The record is from RNAcentral.